CCGGCAGCGCGCGGCGGCGGGCAGGGCCGGCGCGUUAGCGAGCCCGCAGAGGCUGAAUCUAGGCCCCGGUGGGGCUGGGAACCGCAGAGGCCUGGGCAGCUGCGGGUUGUGGACUUUAGGCCACACUUCCCCAGUCUCCCGGCCAAUUCGGGGGAGGGUGGCCGUUGAAGGCGGCGGUGUAUUACGUGGCUGACCUGAGAGACUAUGCUCGCACGUCACUUCCGACUGGCUAAGGUUUAGCAUUUUAACCAUCAGGCAGUAGUUGGUGCGUUAUCCUGGCUGCAGACCGAGGUGCACCUUAUCCUCUCUAAUUUUAUGAUGUAUUAAGGUUCUCUAGAGCUACAGAACUUAGUGAAUGUUUCCAUAUAAUUAAUUGUGAUGACUUACAGGCUGUAGUCCGACUAACUCAACAUUGGGCAGCAGUGGAUGGGAAGUCCAAGAAUAUAGUAGUUGCUCAGUCCCACGAGGGUAGGUGUUUCAGCGGGUCUUCUGUAGAGGUAGGUUCCAACAGAUGUGCUGGCUAGUAAGUGCGAGCAGGCACAGAAGAGAAUCUUCUUCUUCUGUCCUUAUGUAGAAUUCCAGCAGAAGGUGUGGCCCAGAUUAAGGUGUGUACCACCCGGCCAGGAUCUGGGACUUGCUUUGUCCCAGGCUGACCUUGAACUCCGAGAUCUCCUUGCCUUGGUCACCUGGGAUUAUAGUCGUGUACUGCCUUGCCUGAUCCUAAACUUCCAGGCCACUAUACCUCAAAAGUUCUAUGUCAAGAUCCAAAUCAGAAACUUGUGUCUUCCUAGGUCAAGAUCUGGAUUACAGGUGUGUCCUCCAAUUCUGGAUUGUAGUUCCAGAUAAAGUUGAUACCAGGAAUAGCUACCACAGCUGACAUUCAUGAAAUGCUUUCCCUGGCUGGAGCUGGAGCGUGGAAAACCGGUCUGGUCCAGUCCUUUGCUGCUCACAUUAUCUGUCCUCGACAUCCUGGGGGGAGGGGGUGAGGUAGGGAGGGGGGCCAGAUCUAGUCCUCAGGAAGCACCGGGUGGGAACCAAAGCUUUCUUUCUCUUUGAAGACCUUGGCUUAAGUUUCCCUGGGAGAGCAGAUGGAGCUUGUAGAUGGACUCCAGGCUUGCACUAUGGCCUCCUUGUAUUUUAUAAAAAGAUGUGGAGAGAAGGAACAUGUUUGGUGGAUGUGUAGUCAGGUGUGGGGGAAGGGGUGCCUCUGGGGGCCCAUGCUGAGGCAUCCCUUACCCCUGAGGAACCAGCCACAGGACCAUAUAGUAUAGAAUAGAGUUUAUUUAGGGCAUGGGGAGGGGAGUAGAGAGGGGAGUAGAGACAGAGAAGGGGAGAGAGAGAGAGAGAGAGAGAGAGAGAGGAGGAGGAGAGAGCUGCCAUGGCUAUGAGCAUGUGGAGGGGGGAGGGGAAUGGGGAGAGAAGGGGGAAGGGGUGGUGGGAUAGGAGAGAGUGAGAGCGAGAAGGCAAGAUAGGUAACUGGGGCAGUGCCUAGAUAAAGUGCUAACACUUCUUGUUUUUGGAAGUGUCAUAAAUCUGUGAUGAUGAAGAUUUUUGUGGAAGGGAAUGAGUUCAUGCGGAGGGAAUGUCUGAUAGUACAGAUGUAAUGGACUCAGGAGGAAUUAAUGCUAGGACGCAUAUUCAUACACCGGUUGCAUAGGUAGCUUGUCCUGUUGUGAGACAGACCUUUUCUAGGGAGAUAAACACACGUCUGUGCACCUCAUGAACUGACACUGACUAAAAAUAUAAGUACUACUGAAGUCUGAUGUGGUGCAGCAUGAGUUUUACUGGCGUUAUUUAGAGGAAUAUGGGUAAGGAGUUACUUACAGGAAUAACUCAAAGACACUGUCACCAAAGUCCACCCCAGUGUAAUUGACAGCUUACUUAGCUGGAAACCUGGAGCCCACUGCCUGGAACCACAGGUUGAGGGUAUCUUUCCAAUUAGUUGUGUGCAUCUUCCAGGCUGCCGGUUCUGAUUUCUUGCAGUCAUCAUCUGCUUCUGCUGGGCUUGUCUGGAGAGUGUCUCUCUGCAGUGUCUGCUGUUGAAUGUUGUCUUGAGGAAGAGGUUUUGGACUUGCCGAAGCUGUCAUGCAUUGUUUACUUUGUGUCUUCACGUGCUUCCCAGUAGCACGUCACUUCUUAGAACAUCCUGUUUUAUGUUUCUAUAAACCUCUUAGGAACUUUCCCUUCAUGAUGGAAGGUUUUAAUCUCAGGGGAAGACUUUGAAGCACUCCCUACUUCCUACUACACUUGGCGGGCAUCGUAUUUGCAUGUGUUUGAAUGUGUGUUCUCCUUUCAGAGGAAGUGGUUCCUCUUUGAUUUUAGUUUUUCACAAACAGGGUGUGGUUUUGGCUUCUUUGAGAUUGCAUUUUGUGUAGUCUAGCCUGAACUCUUGAGGUCAUUAGGAAGCUCGAUCCUUCUGCUUCACCUCAGAGUGCUAGAAUUACAUGUGUUGGCUACUACAGCUAAAAUACAUGUUUAACCCUUCAUACUAGAGUCCAAAGCCAUUUUAAGAUCAGGAAACAGGCAGUAUCUGAGGUUAAAGAUUUAGGACCACAAAUGUCAAAUACAACAAAUUGACUUAAAAAAAUUGUCUUUACUGUUUUUUGUUCUGUUGUUGUUUUGUUUUUGCUCUGCUUUCAUGGUAGCCAGUUAUUUUAAGGGUAAAUUUGAUAAUUAGUAAUUUUUCCUCCACUUCAUUUUGUCAUAUUUGCUCAUUAGAGAUUAUAAACUGCAGCAGUUGUAUAGUUAAUAAACACCUUAUUUCUAACAUAAGGUAGCUUGAAACUAGUCUUUUAUCACUGUCUCUUAAAAAUAUCCCAGUGUGGUCUUUCCCUUUGUAUACCUUUCUGUUAUGAGGACUUUCCCCCUCCCCUUUUAGUCUUGUAUCUUGAGAAUUUUCUCCGGUCAUCUGCCCUGUCCCACUCUUUCUUCUUGGUGCCCUCUGAAGUGUAUGGAGGAAAAGGCAAAUAGGUUUGAUUACCAUGUGCCAGGCUCCCAGAAGUUCUGAACUUACUGUUCCAGUUCACAAGUAACUGUAGCUAACACUCCCCGUGUCCUCUGCUAACCCAAGGUGCCCUGUUCUCUGUUGCACCUUGGGCUUCCAUGGUGAUGAUGCUCACAUCUGGUCUCUGGGAGCUGAGUGGUGGGGCUUUCAGUCUACUUGGGUAGCUCUCUGAAGGGUUAAAGAGUUGGGUUGUCUCAGUAGGGUUUUUCUUGUCAUCAGGAAAGCAACAGUGUUUUGUCAAGCUUUGUGCAUUGCCACAGAAACUCAAAAAUAAAACUAUUGUGUGUCAUACGUUGUUACUUUUUUCAGUGAAGGGCUUCAUUUCAUAGAAAUGUUUUCCCCCUGAGUUUGAAUGUGUGUUUUUACAUCUGAAACUUGGUGGCAGUGUGGACCUCCUAAAGUGCUGCCAGCCUUGACUGAUUGUCUUCAGGUUCACUUUCAGGAGCUGGAUAUCAUCUUUAUUUCAAGAUUUCUUACAAGUUUUAUACCUUUUAAAAUUGCUCUGCUCCUUGGUCUUUGACUAAACAGGCUUUUACUUCUGAGCUUGUUCCAUGUGGGUGUUUGAAAGCGAUAUCCUCCAAAUGAAAUCUGAUGUGCUUUUUCAGCUUUUUUUUUAGGCAGGGGUGUGCCUAAUGGUAAUGUUGUUGCUGGGAUUUUGAACUCUGGACCUUUGGAAGAGCAGUCACUGCUCUUAACCUCUGAGCCAUCUCUCCAGCCCCAGCCUAAUGGUAAUGUAAACCAUCGUAAUGGUAAUGAUUUCCUCUUAUUUUAAUGUUGCUUUCAAGCUCUCAAAUUGGUGAACCAGGUCACUUCCAUGCUGGUCUCUUCUCCAACUACAGCAGCUUCUCAUGGUUGAAUCCCUAAUUGUUGAGAGGUUGUAAGGUUUAGUUUCUGGUAUAUCAUGUUUAAGGUGCAAAGCUCUUUGAUUUCAGUAAGUAUAUGGUAGGGUGUGUUUCAGCUCCUCUGGAGAGAAGGGGCAGAGCAAGGUGAGAUCUGUGGCAGGAACAGUGAAAUGGCAGUGGGGGGGGGGGGGGAGGAAGCAGAGGUGGGAUGUAUUCGGUUAGUGUCCAAACAAACAUCAGGUCCUGGGGUCUCAGCAUUGCUCCCUUGAUGUUCCUUUCCCUCUAGUUAAAUAAGGGCCUUAUGAUAAUCUCAGUGGUCUUUAGACAACACAUGCUAAUUCAUCCUUGACAACUUCCUCUCUUUUGGCCAAGAAAGUUCUUCAGGAUGUGUGCAUUUUGUAGGGUGCUACUCUGUCCUGUUUAACAAUAGCUUGCUACUCCUAUCCUAAUCGACUGCUUAGCUGUCAAUUUUUCCAGAACUUAAUCCAUCUGAAAGAAAUAUAGCUAAUGUAAAAUAUGUUUAGCAGCCUUUAGUGACUGCUUUAUUCAAACAUGUCUGAAUAUAGGCUCUUUCAUCAUUGAGGUUAGUGAGCAGCCACACUUCCUGCCAUGGUGAUGAAUCCAGGUACAGCUUUGGAUUUUUCUCAUUAUACCUGAUGCUCUCACUGCAUCCCCAUUCCUUAGUAUGUCUGAGUAUCUGGAUGCUUGUUAGUUGUUAAACGGACGCAGGUCUCUCCCUAAGUCCAGCCCCCCUGUUAGGCAUUUGAAUUCCAGAAUGCCUAUUGAACAGUCUUUAGAGGAAACACUUCAGGGCCUGGGAAUCUAUGUCCUUGUUACUGUAGGAAUCAUCAGGAGACCAGCAGCAUCCAGACCAACCUUGUCACAAACAUGGGCUCUCGCACUUGGCAGCUGACUUUCCAGCAGGUCGUGGUGAAAUCCUGGUGAUUGCUGUGCACAGGAAAGCGGGGACUGCAUAAUUCCUUCCUAAAGUCUUGAUAUAGCUCAUUAGGAAGAUCUCUAGGCCCAUCUACAGACCAGGUCCAUAUUAUUUCCUGCAUCUCCACUGCUCUUGCUGGGAGGAGGGCUGUUUCCAUCCUAGUGGAAUUUCCUUCAGUGUCUCAGUUCUCUUCUUGGAUAUAACUAGAACAAUCUUUUACAGAGUAAAGUUGUUCAGGCUGAAGAGAUGGUGCAGAGGUUGAAUUCACUGACUGUGCUUCCAGAGGUCCUGAGUUCUAUACCCAGCAACCACGUGGUGGUUCACAACCAUUUGUAAUGUGAUCUUGGCGCCCUCUUCUGGCAUGCUAGCAGAACACUGUACAUAAUAAAUAUAUAUAUAUAUAUAUUUUAAAAGAGCUAAUAAAAUCUAAUCCUUGAAAAAAAAAGUAAAGUUGUUCUAUGUUUGUUUUGCUCAAAACUCCCUCCCUCAAAGAAAGAAAUCUAGUAACCCCUGUCCAUCCUCUGAUGUCUAUAACUACCUCCUGGGCAUAAUUUAUAAUCAAAUGAAUUACACUUUAUUUUUUCCUGUUAUAGCAUAUAUGCUUCAUAGAUUGAACGUGUUGUUAAAAGUUCUAAUCACCAGAGGCUUUAGUGAGUUGUAAUCUUUCUGGUAGGAGUUCUUGCUUGGAUAUUGAUAGUUGCUGAUCAAGGUGUGGCUGCUUAAAGUUGGAGUAGCUGUGGCUUUUGAUUGAAAUUGGGUCUCAUUUUGUAGUCCAGGCUAGCCUUAAGCUCCGGAUUCUCCUCUUACAUUGUCCAAUUGUACUGCUGUGACAGGGCGAUUGAAGGAAGACAGGACGGCAAUGUUGCUCCGUCAGUCAGGCUCUCCCUUCACAGACAUUUCUCCUGAGCGGAGCCAGGUGUGGUGGUGCAUAUCUAUAAUUCUAGCAAUCAAGAUGCUGAGACACGAGGAUUGCUGUGAAGCCAGCUUGGGCUACAUAGCAAGGCUCUUUUUAUCCCCAUCCUGCCUCCCACCUCCAUGGUGUAUAGUGGCAUUUAGUGUUCUUUUACCCACUGCAUAAAAUUUUAAGAAUUGGGGUUAGUCUUCUGACAACCAUCCUGCUGCCUUAUCAGCUGCUGUCUGUAGAAGUCUAAACACUUGGCUCACUUUGAACAAUGUCAGCAGUAGUGGGCCGCAGCCCCUCUGUGGGGUCAAGCACCCCCUUCAUGGUGGUUGCACAGUAGAUGUCCUGCACAUCCAAUAUUUAUAGUAUAGUUCGUAACAGUACCAAAAUUAAAACUGUGAAGUAGCAGCAAAAUAAUUUUUAUGGUUAGGGUCACUACAACAUGAACUGUAUUUUAAAAGACUACAUUAGGAAGGUUGAGAACCAGUGGUCUAUAGCAUGUUGCACGAUUUCAUUUUAAGAAACUUUCAUGCUGGCUUACAACCAUCUGUAAUGAGAUCUGAUGCUCUCUUCUGGUGUACCUGAAGACAGCUACAGUGUAUUCAUAUACAUAAUUCUUUUAAAAUAAAGAAAAGAAACACAUACUUUGUACAGGGUCAGUCUAUUGAGACCCAGGCUGUCUUUAAGCUUGUAGUUUUCCCUGUCUGCUGAGUAUGCACAACCUGACUGGCCAAGAAACCACUCCCCAAUCACCUGUGAGAAGAAACUUCUGUCUCUAUCACGUGAUUUCAACAAUUCAGUCAUGUCUUACAGCAGUGCCUCUGAUUGGCCACUGAUGUCUUGAUCCUCUGGAGCAGCAGUUCUCACCCUACCUAACGCUGCUGCAACCCUUUAAUAUAGUUCCUCAUGUUGUGGUGACCCCCAACCAUAAAUUAUUUUUGUUACUACUUUAUUACUGUUAUGAAUCAUAGUGUAAAUAUUGGAUAUGCAUGAUAGCUGUAAAAGGACUGACCCUAAAGGGGUCAUGACCCACAGGAUGAGAACCACUGCUCUAGAGUCGUUUAUGAGAGCUGGAACCAUCUUCUGCACUGUUUCCGUUGUGGCAACCUUCCAUGAAUCAUAAGUAUUCUUCAUGAAAUCUAGAGUGGUGGCUCCUUUGCAGGAAGUUUUAAUUUACCCAGGUACUUCAGGGGAGUCACUAUGAAAUGUGUUUCUUGGGCUGGAGAGAUGUCUCAGUGGUUAAGAGCACUGUCUGCUCUUCUGAAGGUCCUGAGUUCAAAUCCCAGCAACCACAUGGUGGCUCACAAGCAUCUGUAAUGAGAUCUGAUGCCCCCUUCUGGAGUGUCUGAAGACAGCUACAGUGUACUUACAUAUAAUAAUUAAAAAAUUGUGUUUUUUUCAGUAGUUAGUGAAGUGGUUUGAAUAUGCUUGGCCUGGGGGUGUGUGUGGCACAUAGGAGGUGUGGCCUUGUUGGAGGAAGUGUGUCAUUAGGGUGGGCAAUGAGACUUCUAACCAUGCGAGAACCAGACUUCUAGCCAUCUUCAGAUGAAGAUGUCGAACUCUCAUCUGCUUUUGUAGAUGUAGAAGCUCCUCCUGCCUGCCAGGACACUGGUCCAGUGUCCUGGACCAAGCCUGCCUGGACACUGUAAUCCGAUCUAAGGGCCUGGCUCCACCCAUUACUCAGUCCAGCCCUAUGGGAAAUAUUGGAUCACAGCUGGACCUGCAAGACCUGGCUGUACCUCACAUUCCUCUCCAUAAGACUACUUAACACUUUCUCCCUAGAACACAGACAGGACAGUGUCCUGGGGUGUAAGCACUGAAAGAUCCUCUUGCUUAUUAACAACAUAGCAACAAGAGCAAAUAACAGCACAGCAACAACUUUCUGCAGAGACCUGACAGAUUCCUCCAUGACCUUCAGAUCUUCACAGUCUCCCUUCCUGGUGGGGACUAUGCUGAGUACCAUCCUUGUCCCACACAGCAUCACAUUCCUUGUCCCACCUCCACGUUUUUAUUACCCAUCACCUAGCACUUCACAUGUCCUGUGGGGACACAUACUGUGCUUGAGUUCCUUCUCUCUUCCACUAGAACAUUGCUAGCCACGGUGGCCUUUUUAGACCUUUGGUGUAUCCUGCUAUAAAAAUUAUUCGCCAUGUAGACGAUGCUCAAUAAAUGUUGGAUGGAUGAGCCCCCCCCCUUUUUGGAGAGGAGAGGUCUUGAUUAGUGGCAUUUCAGCCAGUACUCCUUUGUGGCAGCUGUGGCACAAAUUAUUCAUACACUGAGCACUCACCUUCCUGUUAUACAGCACCUGCACGGAGGUCUGAGGACAGCUUGGGGAACUGUCUCUCUGUCCACCAUCAGAUGACUGAACUUAGACCCUUAGGCUUGGCCACAAGUACCUUCACCCACCGAAUCACCAGCCCAGGGAUUGCUUUCCUUUUCUUCAGAAGAGAUGAUCCUUGAUUAAUGGAUUGUAUCUUCUGAUCAAAUAAAAACCUAAGUCACAUUAUCA
Molecule: long non-coding RNA, 8193 nt
Organism: Apodemus sylvaticus (European woodmouse)
Lineage: Eukaryota; Metazoa; Chordata; Mammalia; Rodentia; Muridae
Exons: 2
Source: RefSeq, a predicted model, not a curated record